Molecule: ribosomal RNA, 253 nt
Filed under: uncultured bacterium
Lineage: Bacteria
Description: partial 16S ribosomal RNA
Rfam family: Bacterial small subunit ribosomal RNA
Source: RNAcentral
UACGUAGGGUGCAAGCGUUGUUCGGAUUUACUGGGCGUAAAGGGCGCGUAGGCGGCGUGGUAAGUCACUUGUGAAAUCUCUGAGCUUAACUCAGGACGGCCAAGUGAUACUGCUGUGCUAGAGUGCAGAAGGGGCAAUCGGAAUUCUUGGUGUAGCGGUGAAAUGCGUAGAUAUCAAGAGGAACACCUGAGGUGAAGACGGGUUGCUGGGCUGACACUGACGCUGAUGCGCGAAAGCUAGGGGAGCAAACGGG